Molecule: ribosomal RNA, 253 nt
Filed under: uncultured bacterium
Lineage: Bacteria
Description: partial 16S ribosomal RNA
Rfam family: Bacterial small subunit ribosomal RNA
Source: RNAcentral
UACGUAGGGGGCAAGCGUUGUCCGGAAUCAUUGGGCGUAAAGCGCGUGUAGGCGGUCCGGUAAGUCCGCUGUGAAAGUCGGGGGCUCAACCCUCGGAUGCCGGUGGAUACUGUCGGGCUUGAGUACGGAAGAGGCGAGUGGAAUUCCUGGUGUAGCGGUGAAAUGCGCAGAUAUCAGGAGGAACACCAAUUGCGAAGGCAGCUCGCUGGGACGUUACUGACGCUGAGAAGCGAAAGCAUGGGGAGCGAACAGG